GAUGAACGCUGGCGGCGUGCCUAAUACAUGCAAGUCGAGCGAACGGACGAGAAGCUUGCUUCUCUGAUGUUAGCGGCGGACGGGUGAGUAACACGUGGAUAACCUACCUAUAAGACUGGGAUAAAUUCGGGAAACCGGAGCUAAUACCGGAUAAUAUUUUGAACCGCAUGGUUCAAAAGUGAAAGACGGUCUUGCUGUCACUUAUAGAUGGAUCCGCGCUUCAUUAGCUAGUUGGUAAGGUAACGGCUUACCAAGGCAACGAUGCAUAGCCGACCUGAGAGGGUGAUCGGCCACACUGGAACUGAGACACGGUCCAGACUCCGACGGGAGGCAGCAGUAGGGAAUCUUCCGCAAUGGGCGAAAGCCUGACGGAGCAACGCCGCGUGAAUGAUGAAGGUCUUCGGAUCGUAAAACUCUGUUAUUAGGGAAGAACAUAUGUGUAAGUAACUGUGCACAUCUUGACGGUACCUAAUCAGAAAGCCACGGCUAACUACGUG
Molecule: ribosomal RNA, 497 nt
Filed under: uncultured bacterium
Lineage: Bacteria
Description: partial 16S ribosomal RNA
Rfam family: Bacterial small subunit ribosomal RNA
Source: RNAcentral